This 2138-nucleotide long non-coding RNA is filed under the name Homo sapiens (human). RNAcentral describes it as "non-protein coding lnc-ARHGEF15-1:1". The stretch from base 660 to 807 matches the Rfam family "Metazoan signal recognition particle RNA". The record is from RNAcentral. Lineage: Eukaryota; Metazoa; Chordata; Mammalia; Primates; Hominidae.
GUCCCCGGAAUCACCCGGAGGCGGUUGGAAUUAACUGUCCAGGCUCCGCCACCAGCGCUCGGCCGCCGACUCCGGCUCCGGAAGGGAGGCCCGGGACGCGGCGGUUUUGUUAUUGGCAGGGAAGAGACCUGGGUUCCCGAUCGAACACAGAGGCCGAGCGCAGCAGUCCCCCACUGGGGUGCUGGGACCGCCCCUCGGGUGGGCGGACGGCUUUAGCUUCCUACCCCGGGUUGUGACCGGGUGGGGUCACAUAAGUUCAGGUCCACGCCCUGCUCGGUGCCGGCGCCAGGAGAGCCAGGAAGACGCGGCCCGGCUUGCGGGGGGUAGAGGGACACACUUGCGCUGCGGGACCAGUCUCCUGAGGCUGCACGGGUCAAUGACAUGAGGAAGACCGAAGGAGGCUGCUGGGUGUGGACACAAAGAGAUGGAGCAGACGCUUAUGGGCUCCUUCAUCCUUCCAGAACAGACUCUCCAAGCAAAGUCUAAACCAGUCACAUUGAAGCUCCUAGGGUUACUUCAUUAAUAAUAUUUCAGGCCGGGCGUGGUGGCUCACGCCUGUAAUCCCAGCACUUUGGGAGCCUGAGGCGGGAGGAUCACAAGAUUAGGAGUUCAAGACCAGCCUGGCCAAUAUGGUGAAAUCCCGUCUCUACAAAAAGUUAGCCAGGCGUGGUGGCGGGCGCCUGUAGUCCCAGCUACUCGGGAGGCUGAGGCAGGAGAAUGGCUUGAGCCCAGGAGGCGGAGGUUGCAGUGAGCCGAGAUUGCACCACUACACUCCAGCCUGGGCAACAGAGCAAGACUCUGUCUCAAAUAAUAAUAAUAAUAAUAAUACUUCAAAAAGACUUCAAAUUGAAGUCUUUUUUUUUUUUUUUUUUUUGAGACGGAUUCUCGCUCCGUCGCCCAGGCUGGAGUACAAUCGUGUGAUCUUGGCUCACUGCAACCUCCGCCUCCUGGGUUCAAGCCAUUCUCUGGCCUCAGCCUCCUGAGUAGCUGGUAUUACAGGCUUGUGCCAACAUGCCUGGCUAAUUUUUGUAUUUUUAGUAGAGACGGGGUUUCAUCUUGUUGUCCAGGCUGGUCAUGAACUCCUGACCUUAAGUGAUCUGCCUGCCUCAGCCUCCCAAAGUGCUGGGAUUACAGGUGUGAGCCACCACGCCCGGCUGCACUAAUUAUUUGUAAUGGUAAAGAGUGUAAGCUUCCCUAGGAGGACUGUCUCCCAGUUCUGCACUAGGGGAUAAAUUGUAAUGGUCAAGGUUCUUUCAGCAGUAAGUGACAGAAAACCAGCUAAAACCAGCUCAAGCGCAAAAGGGAAUGUCAUGCCUCUGGAAGCUGGGAGGUCCAAGGGACUCAAAUAUCAUUGUAAUCCCCAGCUUUUUUUUUUGCUCUGUCACCCAGGCUGGAGUGCAGGGGCGUGGUCUUGGUUCACUGCAGCCUCGAACUCCUGGGCUCAAGUGAUCCUCCUGCCUCAGCCUCUGGAGUAGUUGAGACUACAGGCAUGCGCCACCGCCAGGCUUCCUCCCUCUCUUGGCUCUGCUUCCCUCAGGUAUGGGGCUCAUUUUCUCCCACUGUUGACUGGCUUCCUCCUUUUCCAGGGGAAGGAAGUAGGCCAAGGUAUAGACAGCUCCUGACUUAGAUUGUUCCUGCCUUGUGAGCUUGGAGGAAAGAGAAAGCUUCUCUUUCUCAGAGGCCCAGAAGCUUCUCUUUCUCCUGGAGUCUGUCCUGACCUGCUCAUUCCUGGACCAGUCUCUGUGGCCAGAGGAAUACGGCACUGUGAUUGAACAAACCUGAGUCACGUGGCCAGAGGGAGGCUGUUGUGAUUGGCUGUCCCACUGGAACCACAUGGAGUCGGGUGGGUGAUGGAGAGUUUCGUAGGAGAUGGACACUGCUGUUACCAGGAAGAUGAAAUCUAUUUGAUGCAACAUUAUAUUCCAGGAAACGUUAUAGCUGCAAAGACCACGUAGCGACAUGAAAAUUGGUUAUAAAGCAAUGCUAAGAGAACAAGGCAGAAGACAGACUUGAAACUAUGAUGGCACAUUUGGAAUAUGAAAAAAUAGAAAACUUUUGCUCUGUAAGGGUGGUAGAAGAAUGAAUUAUUACGUCAAAAACCUUCAGUGUCUUUGCAAAAGUAUUUUAUAAUAAAUAAC